This 468-nucleotide ribosomal RNA is filed under the name uncultured bacterium. RNAcentral describes it as "partial 16S ribosomal RNA". It matches the Rfam family "Bacterial small subunit ribosomal RNA", at positions 28 to 507 of the family's 1533-position model. The record is from RNAcentral.
GACGAACGCUGGCGGCGUGCUUAACACAUGCAAGUCGAACGGAAAGGCCCUGCUUUUGUGGGGUGCUCGAGUGGCGAACGGGUGAGUAACACGUGAGUAACCUGCCCUUGACUUUGGGAUAACUUCAGGAAACUGGGGCUAAUACCGGAUAGGAGCUCCUGCUGCAUGGUGGGGGUUGGAAAGUUUCGGCGGUUGGGGAUGGACUCGCGGCUUAUCAGCUUGUUGGUGGGGUAGUGGCUUACCAAGGCUUUGACGGGUAGCCGGCCUGAGAGGGUGACCGGCGACAUGGGGACCAGGAUACGGCCGGGAGUCGUAGGGGGGGAAGCAGGGGGAAAGAUGGCACAAGGGGGGGACGCCGGAUGCAGCAACGCGGGGUGCGGGAGGACGGCAUCCGGGUUGGAAACAGAUUUCGCUGGUAACGAAGGGGGCGUGACGGUAAUGGGUAAGGAAGCACCGGCUAACUACGUG